GUUGAUGAUCGGUGCUUGCACCGAGAUUCAACAUGGAACGAGUGGCGGACGGGUGAGUAACACGUGGGUAACCUGCCCUUAAGUGGGGGAUAACAUUUGGAAACAGAUGCUAAUACCGCAUAGAUCCAAGAACCGCAKGGUUCUUGGCUGAAAGAUGGCGUAAGCUAUCGCUUUUGGAUGGACCCGCGGCGUAUUAGCUAGUUGGUGAGGUAAUGGCUCACCAAGGCGAUGAUACGUAGCCKAACUGAGAGGUUGAUCGGMCACAUUGGGACUGAGACACGGCCCAAACUCCUACGGGAGGCAGCAGUAGGGAAUCUUCCACAAUGGACGCAAGUCUGAUGGAGCAACGCCGCGUGAGUGAAGAAGGCUUUCGGGUCGUAAAACUCUGUUGUUGGAGAAGAAUGGUCGGCAGAGUAACUGUUGUCGGCGUGACGGUAUCCAACCAGAAAGCCACGGCUAACUACGUGCCAGCAGCCGCGGUAAUACGUAGGUGGCAAGCGUUAUCCGGAUUUAUUGGGCGUAAAGCGAGCGCAGGCGGUUUUUUAAGUCUGAUGUGAAAGCCCUCGGCUUAACCGAGGAAGCGCAUCGGAAACUGGGAAACUUGAGUGCAGAAGAGGACAGUGGAACUCCAUGUGUAGCGGUGAAAUGCGUAGAUAUAUGGAAGAACACCAGUGGCGAAGGCGGCUGUCUGGUCUGUAACUGACGCUGAGGCUCGAAAGCAUGGGUAGCGAACAGGAUUAGAUACCCUGGUAGUCCAUGCCGUAAACGAUGAAUGCUAGGUGUUGGAGGGUUUCCGCCCUUCAGUGCCGCAGCUAACGCAUUAAGCAUUCCGCCUGGGGAGUACGACCGCAAGGUUGAAACUCAAAGGAAUUGACGGGGGCCCGCACAAGCGGUGGAGCAUGUGGUUUAAUUCGAAGCAACGCGAAGAACCUUACCAGGUCUUGACAUCUUUUGAUCACCUGAGAGAUCAGGUUUCCCCUUCGGGGGCAAAAUGACAGGUGGUGCAUGGUUGUCGUCAGCUCGUGU
RNAcentral lists this ribosomal RNA (1026 nucleotides) under Limosilactobacillus fermentum. Its description in RNAcentral is "bacterial SSU rRNA". It matches the Rfam family "Bacterial small subunit ribosomal RNA", at positions 67 to 1065 of the family's 1533-position model. Lineage: Bacteria; Bacillati; Bacillota; Bacilli; Lactobacillales; Lactobacillaceae. The record is from RNAcentral.